GAUGAACGCUGGCGGCGUACCUAACGCAUGCAAGUCGAACGGACCCUUUGAAGCAAUUUGAAGGGUUAGUGGCAAACGGGUGAGUAACACGUGGGCAUCUACCUCGAAGUGGGGAAUAACGAGCCGAAAGGUUCGCUAAUACCGCAUGUGGUCGAGAGAUGAAAGGUUUGUUCUAACGAACAGAUCGCUUUGAGCGGAGCCUGCGGUCGAUCAGGUAGUUGGUGAGGUAACGGCUCACCAAGCCUCUGACCGAUAGCUGAUCUGAGAGGAUGACCAGCCACACUGGCACUGAGAGACGGGCCAGACUCCUACGGGAGGCAGCAGCGAGGAAUAUUGCACAAUGGAGGAAACUCUGAUGCAGUAACGCCGCGUGGGGGAAGAAGACCUCGGUUGGUU
This 396-nucleotide ribosomal RNA is filed under the name uncultured bacterium. Its description in RNAcentral is "bacterial SSU rRNA". It matches the Rfam family "Bacterial small subunit ribosomal RNA", at positions 28 to 427 of the family's 1533-position model. The record is from RNAcentral.